GAAACCUCAUCUUCGAUCGUUCGCCAUCCGGGGCGUCGAUCAGUGCUUUUUAGCACGAGCGUCCGCUCGGGUGAGGAGAAAGU
RNAcentral lists this non-coding RNA (83 nucleotides) under unclassified sequences. RNAcentral describes it as "RAGATH-10 RNA". It matches the Rfam family "RAGATH-10 RNA". From Rfam's summary of the family: RNA motif Associated with Genes Associated with Twister and Hammerhead ribozymes (RAGATH). The record is from Rfam by way of RNAcentral.